CUCAAAGAUUAAGCCAUGCAAGUGGUUAUCAACCAUACAGUUUAAAUUAGUGUUUAAUUAAAAAAAUAAAUAUAAAAGUGAAUUUUAAAUUCACUAAUGCAACCGCAGACAGCUGUUUAAUACAGUCACACUUGUCUUGACUUGGCACAUUACAUAUACUAUUAAUAUGUUACAAACAUAUCCAAAUGUUUAAAAACACACACAUAAUUUUGGAUAACUAAGGGAAAGUUUGGCUAAUACGUACGAGAUACAAUUUAAUAAAGCAUAUUUAAAUGUAUUCGAAUAUUAUAACACACACACAUUUAAUAAACCGAAUACAUAUUGCUUUUACAAACACAAUAAAAACCACCCAAAUAAAUAAACUCAGCACUUAUUGGAGAGUAAAAAAGGCAUUUAUACUUCGGUAUAAUGUUUUAUAUAAUACUCAAUGCAACAUGAAAGACAAUAAGCACGCAUUAAUUUAAUAAUGCUGAGCAGACUUUAUAAAAUAUAUUUAUUUUAUGAAGCAGGUCAUACAAGCAUCUAUAGCAUCAAGUCACAGGGUUGGCAAGUGUAUUUUUGAACCUUCAAAGCAGUCACGCAUACGGAAGAGUAGUUUCUGAUCCCAUAGAAGGAGCACCGUACAAUGAGAGACCGCUCUUAGUUCUAAGGAACGCAGCAGGCGCGUAAAUUGCCCAAUGAUAGUGCAAUUAAAAAAAUAAAAAAAUUAAAACACAUGCAAAAUAUAUAAUAUUAAUCCUUGUAUAUUGUCCUCAUUAUUAAAUAAUGAAUAUAAAAUUUUAUUUUUAUUCAUUGAGGCAGUGACAAGCUGUAACGGUUGAGUGUUAAACAAAGAAAGUAUCUGGCAUUGUCGCUUAACUUCGGUUUGGCUUGACAUUUCGCCGAUGCUUUAUAUGCUCAAUUGGAAUGCUGUGAGUGUAAGUAACUCAGAACCAUUAAUUGAUGUAUAUAUUAGUUUAUAUGCAUUAAUUGAUUAUCUGAAUUUUCAAGUGGAGGGCAAGUCUGGUGCCAGCAGCCGCGGUAAUACCAGCUCCACUGGCCUAUACAAUCAUUGUUGCGGUUAAGAGGCUCGUAGUUGGAUUGAAUAAAAAAAUAUUAAUUAAUAGACAUAUAUAUAAAAAACCAAUAUUUUCAACACUGUGAACAAAUCAGAGUGUAUCAAACAUGUUAUUUAUAUUGCGCAUUGAAUGUCUUAUCAUGGAAUGUUGCAAUAAUAUUAAAUAAUAUUAGUAUAUCAAAACACAUAAAUUUAAUGAUAUACAAAAUAUAUAUAUAUUAUGUCGAUGGGGAUAGUUGGAGUCAAGAGUACUGCUGGGCGAGCGGUGAAAUGCACUGACCCUAGUAAGACUACCAGAAGCGAAAGCGCUUGACUAGGCUAUACCUUUUGUGUUGUUGUAAUAUUAUUAUAUAUACACACAUUUUAAUAUAAUAUUACUAUUAUAACACUUUACAAUGAAGAACGAAGGUGGGAUCAAAGAGGAUCAGAUACCCUCGUCGUCCCAUUCAUUACAUCAACGAUGGGAUCUCAAUUGCAUAUAUAUAAUUCAUAUAUGUAAAUGACCUCAACCAGCAAAUUUUUAAAGCUUGAGCAAUUUAUUGCUCGCUUUUUAUUUUUGCAAAUGGUUUUGUAGUGACAUUUCAUUAUGAAUCCAUUAAAUUUUAAAUUUGUAUUAUUGUAUAUUUUUAUACAUUAUACAUUGAAUUUCGGAGCUUUGCGCUCAAUUGGUAAGAUGUAAGCACAUUGUAUAUUGCCCUUAUUGUUAAAUAUUAUUAUCUUCGGAUAUUUAAUAUUUGUUCAAUAAAGUGUGUAAAUAUACAUUUUAUAUUGUGUGAAGCACGUGUUAGGCACGCGCUUACUGCAGAAAUGUUUAAGACAUUACCCUCCUGGGGUAGUAUGCACGCAAGUGUGAAACUUGAAGGAAUUGACGGAAGGGCACCACAAGAACGCGUGGAGCAUGUGGCUUAAUUUGACUCAACGCGGGAAAUCUUACCGGGUCCGGACACACUGAGGAUUGACAGGCGAUAAUAUAAAUACUUCGGUGUUUAUAUAUAAAUAUGAUAGUCCUUUCAUGAUUAUGUGAUAGGUGGUGCAUGGCCGUUCUUAGUUCGUGGAGUGAUCUGUCUGCUUAAUUGCGUUUCAAAAUGAACUAAGAAUAAAGUAUUGAUAUUGUAUAAUUUAUUAUACUAUUAUCAUGCUUUUAAACAAAGUUCAGAAAGCAACGAACGUGACCGUAACCUCUUGUUGCCUUUUCAAAAUUUUAAUAUAAUGUGAAUUAUAUUUUAAGAAUAAAGGCUUUAAAACUAGAGGAACCGCUGUCUUACUUCUUAAACCAGAGGAAGGUUGCGGCAAUAACAGGUCUGUGAUGCCCUCAGAUGUUCCGGGCUGCACACGUGCUACAAUGAUCAUAGCAGUGAGCAUCUAAUGUAAACAUUUGAAAUAAUACUUUAUAUACUUUGGUAUGUAUUGUAUUUUAUUUUAAAUAUAGCCUAUUUCGAAAGUAAAUAGGUAAUCAAUUAAAAGUCGUGAUUUCCAUAAAACACAUUUAUAAAAUAAAAUUUGAAGAUAUUUAAUAUUCAUAUUAAAUUAUUGGAUAUUUUGUUUGUGUUAUUAAUUAAUUCAAGGUGGGGACAGACCAUUGUUAAUUGUUGGUCUCGUUUUUAACUAGGAAUGCCUUGUACUGGUCUUUGGUUCAACAGACCACCAGGAAUACGUCCCUGCCCUUUGUACACACCGCCCGUCGCUCUUACCGAUGGACUUCUUUGUGAGUUUGAGGGACUGGAAUAUUUUUAUAUUCUAUGGAAACUUAAACAAACAAUGUGGUCUAAAGGAAAGAGAAGUCGUAACAAGGCAUCGGUAGGUGAACCU
Molecule: ribosomal RNA, 2866 nt
Filed under: Miliammina sp. 10244
Lineage: Eukaryota; Foraminifera; Rzehakinidae
Description: bacterial SSU rRNA
Rfam family: Eukaryotic small subunit ribosomal RNA (bases 529-2866)
Source: RNAcentral